RNAcentral lists this ribosomal RNA (814 nucleotides) under uncultured bacterium. Its description in RNAcentral is "bacterial SSU rRNA". It matches the Rfam family "Bacterial small subunit ribosomal RNA", at positions 8 to 796 of the family's 1533-position model. The record is from RNAcentral.
AGAGUUUGAUCCUGGCUCAGAACGAACGCUGGCGGCGUGCCUAACACAUGCAAGUCGCGCGAGAACAGGGGGGCAACUCCCUUAGUAAAGCGGCGCACGGGUGAGUAACACGUAGGUGAUCUACCUCCGAGCCUGGGAUAACCUACCGAAAGGUGGGCUAAUACCGGAUAUGACCACGGGCAUCUCGGUGCCUGCGGUGAAAGGUGGCCUCUGCUUGCACGCUACCACUCAGAGAUGAGCCUGCGCGCCAUUAGCUUGUUGGCGGGGUAACGGCCCACCAAGGCGAUGAUGGCUAGCUGGUCUGAGAGGAUGACCAGCCACACUGGGACUGGAACACGGCCCAGACUCCUACGGGAGGCAGCAGUGGGGGAUAUUGCGCAAUGGGCGAAAGCCUGACGCAGCGACGCCGCGUGGGUGAUGAAGGCCUUCGGGUCGUAAAGCCCUGUCGAGGGGAACGAAACGGUUCCGACCUAACACGUCGGGGCCCUGACGGUACCCCUAAAGGAAGCACCGGCUAACUCCGUGCCAGCAGCCGCGGUAAUACGGAGGGUGCAAGCGUUGUUCGGAAUCACUGGGCGUAAAGGGCGAGUAGGCGGUCCGCUAAGUCUGAUGUGAAAGCCCGGGGCUCACCCCCGGAAGGGCAUUGGAAACUGACGGACUCGAGUCCCGGAGAGGAAGGUGGAAUUCCUGGUGUAGCGGUGAAAUGCGUAGAUAUCAGGAGGAACAUCGGAGGCGAAGGCGGCCUUCUGGACGGUGACUGACGCUGAUCCGCGAAAGCGUGGGGAGCAAACAGGAUUAGAUACCCUAGUAGUCC